CAUGAACCUCAUUACGUUUUACCAGUGCCCCGCCCCAAGACAAUUUCCAAAACUACCCUUUUAAAACACUAAUAUUUACAAGUUGACAAGUUCAAUGGUGCUGGACCAUAGAAUGAAAGUAAAGACUCACUAGUAUUAGAUCAAAUCCCUCAAAAAUAUCUGCCAUCUAUCUCAAAAGGAUAAACACUAAUUAAUUAAUUAAAUUAAUCAAAUCAUAAAAUUCAACCACCACAGUUAACUGUCUACAUAAUUCCAGAAUCUUCUACAACUUUCUGUGUGCUUCUUUGCCUCCAUUAUAUCUU
RNAcentral lists this long non-coding RNA (302 nucleotides) under Solanum tuberosum (potato). RNAcentral's name for it is "long non-coding RNA (STUB_LNC005381)". Lineage: Eukaryota; Viridiplantae; Streptophyta; Magnoliopsida; Solanales; Solanaceae. The record is from RNAcentral.